Molecule: ribosomal RNA, 507 nt
Filed under: uncultured Lachnospiraceae bacterium
Lineage: Bacteria; Bacillati; Bacillota; Clostridia; Lachnospirales; Lachnospiraceae
Description: bacterial SSU rRNA
Rfam family: Bacterial small subunit ribosomal RNA
Source: RNAcentral
AGAGUUUGAUCCUGCGUCAGGAUGAACGCUGGCGGCGUGCCUAACACAUGCAAGUCGAACGGACUUACACAGAAGCAGGAGAUGCUUGCAUUGACUAACGGAAGUGUAAGUUAGUGGCGGACGGGUGAGUAACGCGUGGGCAACCUGCCCCAUACCGGGGGAUAACACCUGGAAACAGGUGCUAAAACCGCAUAAGCGCACAGCUUCGCAUGAAGGUGUGUGAAAAACUCCGGUGGUAUGGGAUGGGCCCGCGUCUGAUUAGCUGGUUGGCGGGGUAACGGCCCACCAAGGCAACGAUCAGUAGCCGGCCUGAGAGGGUGGACGGCCACAUUGGGACUGAGACACGGCCCAAACUCCUACGGGAGGCAGCAGUGGGGAAUAUUGGACAGUGGGGGAAACCCUGAUCCAGCGACGCCGCGUGAGUGAAGAAGUAUUUCGGUACGUAAAGCUCUAUCAGCAGGAAAGAAAAUGACGGUACCUGACUAAGAAGCCCCGGCUAACUACGUG